This is a long non-coding RNA of Ornithorhynchus anatinus (platypus), 1529 nucleotides long. RefSeq lists it as uncharacterized. The record is from RefSeq and is a predicted model, not a curated record. NCBI's taxonomy places the organism in Eukaryota, Metazoa, Chordata, Mammalia, Monotremata, Ornithorhynchidae. The transcript has 3 exons.
UGGAAGGGAAUCUCAUUUGGAAAGGCCGAGGGGAGCGGCGCACAGGAAUAACGAUUUAACCUGGAGGCUGCUAAACGGACCUUGUCUGCAGCCAGGCGCACCCACAGAAAAGAAGCCCUCAAGCCCCGGAAUCAACCUGAACUCCCGAGUCCUCAGAUCCAGGGCCCGGCCCAAUCCCGCUCACUGGGUCAUUGCUGAAGGGCCCACUAGGGAGAACUCACAUCUCCAGCCCAGAGGACAAGGACCUUUGAAGACCAGUGAAGGAGGAGGUACAUCCUAAAAUCUAGCAAGUCUACAGCGGCCUGGUCCUGGUAGGAAAAUUUGGGAACCCGAAGGCCAGGAAACCAUGAGGUUCAGGAUUUGUGCCUAAUCUCGGGGACAGAACUGGUUUGCCGAUCUAGAGGCUUAUUGCCAUCCAGGAGCUAUUCUGGGCAAAGUUGGACUUUGAAACGCUGUGCCAUUCUCCAGAGAUAUUCACGAAAGUCACACGGAGGUCCGUGACUUGCCUGUGGACUGUAGCGGGCAGAAAGAGAAGGCCUGACAGGUCAUCCUACUUGGCUGGCAGAGACGUCGACGGCACGGCAACCAUAUAAAUGUGGGCUAAUGGGCUUUGGUCACGGCCUACCCACGUUCCGGUCCAGGCUGAACGUGUUCCUGCCGGCUCCCUGGAAGGUGGGCACUGAGGGCACUGACCAGUGAUACCCCUGCUCUCUCUGGCCUCCACAGAGGCAGUUGGCAGGACACAGACAGUCUGGGAGAUCCCAGACCCAUCACAGGACAGGAGGAAACACUGGAGUGGGCCAGGGCAGCAUCACAGGGUCUUUGAGAAAAUUCCUUGCUGUUCCUCCACAGGGGCUGCCGCGGGGAUAGCCGUGCCGAAUCCCAAAUCCUCCCGUGGAAGGGUGGGCCGAGUGCUCGGUAGCCUGCGUAGACUCAUCCUUAACAUUUGGAGCACUGACUAAAUACCAAGCGAUUUCUGAGAUACCACGGGACCGUCUUAGAGGAGGAAGAUGAGCCAGUGUGGAAUCCCACCGCCACCCCCAAGUCCCAUCGCAUCCCAGUGAUGACCAGAUCAGAGCCAGAGGGUCCUUAAUGACCAGGAGAACAUGAGAAACCUCAGUUUCCUCUAGGGAUCCACAGUAUACCAUGGUGAGCUGCAGUCAACCACAGCUAAUCACAAAGACACGGACAACCACAGUGAGCGACAGUGAACCCCGGUGAACCGCAAAGACAUGGACAACCCCAGUGAGCUGCAAUGAAGCACAGGAACAUGGUGAACCCCAGUGAGUUGCAGUGAACCCCAGUGAAGCACGGGAACGUGGCAAAAACCCCAUGAGUUACUGUGAACCGCAGUGAAGCAAUGGAACACAGCUAGCAUUGGUGAACUUCUGAGAACCCCAGCGAAUCAAUGAAUUAAUCAAGUUUAUUGAGCAUGUACUUUGUGCAGAGCAUAGCACUAAGUAGUCAGGAGAGUCCAAUACACCAGAGUUGGAAGACACAACCCCUGGCCAAAGUGAGCUGACCGCCUA